Pezoporus occidentalis (night parrot) is the source of this 533-nucleotide long non-coding RNA. RefSeq lists it as uncharacterized. The transcript is spliced from 3 exons. NCBI's taxonomy places the organism in Eukaryota, Metazoa, Chordata, Aves, Psittaciformes, Psittacidae. The record is from RefSeq and is a predicted model, not a curated record.
AGCAUUGCUCUCCUCCUCCAUGCCACAGCCAGUCCAGCCUCACAAGGUGUGCAAACUGGCUGCUCAGGUAUAGCUGCUGCCCAGGAGUACCACACAGAUUUCUUUACACAUUCCUGUAUGUGGGCUGUAUAUUACAGCCCACCAGAGGGACUCUCCUUUCGGCACCCAGAAGAUGCUGUGGUAAGGGAGCCUGGUAUGAAGGUGGCCUUUCUGAGUAAUCUCUGCUGUUGCUUGAACCGGUUUUACAUCUCUGCAGGUGUCGGAGAUCACAGGUGAAGUUUUGUUCUCUUCCCCUGCUCUGACAAAACACAAUCUCCUGAAACACUUUAUAUGAUAGAAAAUAAUCCUGUUAGACUCUCUACACAGUACAGAAGGGGUAGCUGAUGUGGGGCACAGGGAGGUUUGUUUUUCCUGCAUCAAGGUGGAAGAUAGGUAGCUGUAGAGCUGAUAUACCUGGAAAUCUGAUGUUUGAAAGACAUAUUUACUGUCUCCAAUAAAUACCACUGUUAUCUUCAGUUUUAAAGGCUUGUUGU